Molecule: ribosomal RNA, 428 nt
Filed under: uncultured bacterium
Lineage: Bacteria
Description: bacterial SSU rRNA
Rfam family: Bacterial small subunit ribosomal RNA
Source: RNAcentral
AUGGGAACGCGAAGAACCUUACCUAGACUUGACAUCUCCUGAAUUACCCUUAAUCGGGGAAGUCGGUACCUUUGGUAUCGACAGGAAGACAGGUGGUGCAUGGUUGUCGUCAGCUCGUGUCGUGAGAUGUUGGGUUAAGUCCCGCAACGAGCGCAACCCUUAUUGUUAGUUGCUACCAUUUAGUUGAGCACUCUAGCGAGACUGCCCGGGUUAACCGGGAGGAAGGUGGGAUGAUGUCAAAUCAUCAUGCCCCUUAUCGUCUAGGGCUACACACGUGCUACAAUGGCAAGUACAAAGAGACGCAAGACCGUGAGGUGGAGCAAAUCUCAAAAACUUAGUCCCAGUUCGGAUUGUAGGCUGAAACUCGCCUACAUGAAGUUGGAGUUGCUAGUAAUCGCGAAUCAGAAUGUCGCGGUGAAUACGUUCCC